CCAGACUCCUACGGGAGGCAGCAGUGGGGGAUAUUGCACAAUGGGGGAAACCCUGAUGCAGCGACGCCGCGUGGGUGAAGAAGUAUUUCGGUAUGUAAAGCCCUAUCAGCAGGGAAGAAAGAAGACGGUACCUGACUAAGAAGCCCCGGCUAACUACGUGCCAGCAGCCGCGGUAAUACGUAGGGGGCGAGCGUUAUCCGGAUUCACUGGGUGUAAAGGGAGCGUAGACGGCAGUGCAAGUCUGGAGUGAAAGGCGGGGGCUCAACCCCCGGACUGCUCUGGAAACUGUACGGCUGGAGUGCAGGAGAGGUAAGUGGAAUUCCUAGUGUAGCGGUGAAAUGCGUAGAUAUUAGGAGGAACACCAGUGGCGAAGGCGGCUUACUGGACUGUAACUGACGUUGAGGCUCGAAAGCGUGGGGAGCAAACAGGAUUAGAUACCCCGGUACC
Molecule: ribosomal RNA, 447 nt
Filed under: uncultured bacterium
Lineage: Bacteria
Description: bacterial SSU rRNA
Rfam family: Bacterial small subunit ribosomal RNA
Source: RNAcentral